Non-coding RNA from Podospora aff. communis PSN243, 101 nucleotides. NCBI's taxonomy places the organism in Eukaryota, Fungi, Ascomycota, Sordariomycetes, Sordariales, Podosporaceae. The record is from the annotation of a GenBank genome assembly.
GGUCCGGUGGUGUAGUGGUUUAUCACCUCGUUCUUAUAGCAGCACCGCAAGGUGCUACAUAUGCAAUGCGAAGGUCCCGGGUUCAAUCCCCGGUCGGUCCA